GAUGAACGCUGGCGGCGUGCCUAACACAUGCGAGUCGAACGAACAGACGAGGAGUUUGCGCCUCUGACGUUAGCGGCGGACGGGAGAGUAACACGUGUAUAACCUACCUAUAAGACUGGUAUAACUACGGGAAACCGGAGCUAAUACCGGAUGAUAUAUUGCACCGCGGGGGUCAAUAGUGAGAGUCGGUGUUGCUGGCAGUAAUAGCUGGAUACGCGCCGUAUGAGCUAGUUGGUAGGGUAAAGGCUUACCAAGGCGAGGAGGCGUAGCCGACCUGAGGGGGGGAUCGGCCACCCUGGAGGGGAGACAGGCUCCAGACUCCUGCGGGAGGCAGCAGUAGGGAAUCUGCCGCAAUGGGCGAGAGCCUGACGGAGCAACGCGGCGUGAGUGAUGAAGGCGCUCGGAUCGUAAAGCUCUGUUAUUGGUGAAGAACAAAUGUGUAAUUAACCGUGCCCGUAUUGACGGUACCGGGUCAGAAAGCCCCGGCUAACUACGUG
This 497-nucleotide ribosomal RNA is filed under the name uncultured bacterium. RNAcentral describes it as "partial 16S ribosomal RNA". It matches the Rfam family "Bacterial small subunit ribosomal RNA", at positions 28 to 507 of the family's 1533-position model. The record is from RNAcentral.